GACGAACGCUGGCGGCGUGCUUAACACAUGCAAGUCGAACGGAAAGGCCUGCUUUCCCUUGUGGAUUGCGGGUACUCGAGUGGCGAACGGGUGAGUAACACGUGAGUGAUCUGCCCCCAACUUGGGUAUAAGCCUGGGAAACUGGGUCUAAUUCCCGAUAGGACUGCAGGGUGGCGCCUGUGGUGGCAAACGAUUUUCUAGUGGUUGGGGAUGAGCUCGCGGCCUAUCAGCUUGUUGGUGGGGUAAUGGCCUACCAAGGCGGCGACGGGUAGCCGGCCUGGGAGGGUGGACGGCCACAUUGGGACGGAGAUACGGGCCAGACUCCUACGGGAGGAAGCAGUGGGGAAUAUGGCACAAUGGGCGGAAGCCUGAUGCAGCGACGCCGAGUGGGGGAUGACGGCCUUCGGGUUGUAAACUCCUUUCGACCGCGAGGAAGCCACCUGGUUGGAAGGGUGGUGACGGUAGUGGUAGAAGAAGCACCGGCUAACUACGUG
This 494-nucleotide ribosomal RNA is filed under the name uncultured bacterium. Its description in RNAcentral is "partial 16S ribosomal RNA". It matches the Rfam family "Bacterial small subunit ribosomal RNA", at positions 28 to 507 of the family's 1533-position model. The record is from RNAcentral.